GCAAAAAAACGUUUUUUUAAUUUGAAAAUGUUAUUGCCUUUGAAACACGACUGAUCAAUUACAGACCCAUAAGUUAACUCAGUAUUGUAACUGAGUCUCACUGUUAAAUUAAAUAUUACACCAGUGAUCUUCUGCUUGAACUUUUGUAAAUGUUUGUAUUUACUGUAGGUGCCAGUGCAAUCCCAGACCCUUAUGCCACGGAGAAAUUCCUGAGUCAAGAGUCAUGUCAUAAAGCAAGCUGUCACGGCAGCCAUAUUUAAGAUGGCAGAUUAGCAGCAAGAGACAAGCCUUGGUGUCGGGAGGUUGUGUGAAAACCGAAGGGGGUCGCAGAACGUGGAGAGGAGUCAGACUCUGGGAAGAAGACGGUCACCUGUGUGCAGGAGGGAUGAGCAAAGCUGCCAAUCAGACAAAAGUCUGGACGCAGCACAAUCCCGCUCCCCGGCCGGCUGCCCGCCGCCUGGCCUCGGGCUGAGAGGGAUAACUGAAUUACAGCAGCAGCAAAAAGCUAAUCUCACUUCCUCUGCGGGGGUCACAUGUGCGUACACUUGUCGUCCUUUCUGUGGGUUGCUGCGAGCGCUCGUCUGUGGGUCUGAGCGCAUUUGCUCAGGCUCAGCACGGCUUUUUGGAGAGCGUGUCGCCCCGGCGGUGAGAGAGCAUGUUUACUAGAUGGAGAUGGAGGCUCACGUCCAGCAGUCCUGCCGGGAACAGAAGGAAACCAUAGUGAUGAAAUCGGGCACGCAGCAUUCAGCUGCUGGUGGAGCUCAGGAAAGCAAAGUGGUUCUCCAGGUGUGUGUCAGACCGCGGUCAAACACUGGCAGGUCAUGGUGUAUCUGAAGGGACGUUUCCAUGAGCAGCCGGUCGGAUCAAAGAGACGCUAACACUGACUCAUUAAACAUAAACGGAGUUUCAGCAUCAAA
Poecilia latipinna (sailfin molly) is the source of this 917-nucleotide long non-coding RNA. RefSeq lists it as uncharacterized. Lineage: Eukaryota; Metazoa; Chordata; Actinopteri; Cyprinodontiformes; Poeciliidae. The record is from RefSeq and is a predicted model, not a curated record. The transcript is spliced from 2 exons.